RNAcentral lists this long non-coding RNA (511 nucleotides) under Homo sapiens (human). RNAcentral describes it as "FZD10 antisense RNA 1". Lineage: Eukaryota; Metazoa; Chordata; Mammalia; Primates; Hominidae. The record is from RNAcentral.
AGUCCCGCCCGCGUCGCCCGCCAGCCCCGGGACAGCCCGCCUGGCGCGCGGGGCUCUGCGCGCUGCGACCCUCCCCGGCAGUCCCGCCCGCCUCUCCUCGCCCUCUCUCUGCCUGGCCUCCAACUUUGCCUCUCGCUAUCCUCUCCGCCGGCGCCCCCUUUCCCGGCGGUCCCCGGGAUGGUCCCCGGCACCCCGAGGACGCCGAGGUUACGGGAAGUUCGGGGACUGGCGGGAGAAGGGGUUUGGGGGUGGUCCGCGGCGAGGGGCGCGGGGUGCAUCUUCUCUUCCUUUUAUGCUGAGUGGGUCAGCUCAUCACAGGCCUGCGGCCCCUGCAUGGGUGACAGAGGAGGCAAAGAUGACACAGAGAAACUAUCCCUUCAGGGACAGAGUGGGGACACCCACGAGCUUGGCUCUGCCUUACAAAGAAAUGAGAAGGAACCCCGUUCCUGCUUUUCACCUUAGGGCUGCCACACUUGUGUAUCCCUUCUUCCUUGAAUUUAACCAGGAGUGA